RNAcentral lists this ribosomal RNA (381 nucleotides) under Streptococcus pneumoniae GA47368. RNAcentral describes it as "partial 23S ribosomal RNA". The stretch from base 230 to 381 matches the Rfam family "Bacterial small subunit ribosomal RNA", at positions 1 to 149 of the family's 1533-position model. Lineage: Bacteria; Bacillati; Bacillota; Bacilli; Lactobacillales; Streptococcaceae. The record is from RNAcentral.
AGAUGAAAAAAGUUUAAAAAAGCUUAAAAAUCUUCAAAAAAGUGUUGACAAGUGAAAGUGGCUGUGAUAUACUAAUAUAGUUGUCGCUUGAGAGAAGCAAGUGAUAAAGACCUUUGAAAACUGAACAAGACGAACCAAUGUGCAGGGCGCUACAACAUAAGUUGUAGUACUGAACAAUGAGAAAAAACAAUAAAUCUGUCAGUGACAGAAAUGAGUGAGAACUCAAACUUUUAAUGAGAGUUUGAUCCUGGCUCAGGACGAACGCUGGCGGCGUGCCUAAUACAUGCAAGUAGAACGCUGAAGGAGGAGCUUGCUUCUCUGGAUGAGUUGCGAACGGGUGAGUAACGCGUAGGUAACCUGCCUGGUAGCGGGGGAUAACUA